Molecule: long non-coding RNA, 2266 nt
Organism: Vespula vulgaris
Lineage: Eukaryota; Metazoa; Arthropoda; Insecta; Hymenoptera; Vespidae
Exons: 2
Source: RefSeq, a predicted model, not a curated record
ACAACGAUAAGGUAAGAGUAUUAUCAAAAAAUUAAAGAAAAGAAAGAAAAACAAAAAAUAAAUAAAUUGAAAAACGUAUGCCCCUUUAUUAUACGUACCUGGCAAUUUGUUCGUUCCUCCUCUUCUCGAAUUGGCGCAAACUAGAUUGGUUAUUCUCGGCCGUUGAUCUGUUUAUCUCACUCAUUCUGUCUCCGUUUGUCUCUCUCUCUCUCUCUCUCUCUCCCUCCCUCUCUUUCUCAUUCUUUCUUUCUCUCUCUCCAUCCUUCUCGCUACGCUACUUGAAUUUCGCUACGCUACGAACGAUAGAAACAUGAACGAAGCUGAUUUCAAUGAAAUCUUUUUCACGCUAAAGGAGGCCUCGGGUAUAUUUCUCAUUUCACAAGCGGCUCGUAAUCGAUCAGUAGUGCGUACGCCGCAAAUCGGACUCGAAAACCAUGAAGAAGAGCUUCAAGUUAAAUCUCGAACACGAAACGAACUCUCAUUAAGAUGAAAAUUACGCUUCCUUGAUGCAAAACUUCGCGAGUGACUGGAUAGUCUGAAAGUGAACGAACGAUUUUGAUGUUCAGUGAGAAGAAAACUAAUAUUAAAGCGAAUAAGUAAUUUAGAAAUUUUCAUAUAAACUUACGACGACGUUAAACUGGAUUAUUAUCUUAUACAGCAUGAUGCUUUUUUUGAAAAUUCUAAGAACAUGAAAUUCGUAAAAUAAAACUAUUGUGUUUUGAAGAGGCUUAUUUGUGUUUAAGUCCACUUGAGAAUUAAAUUAUCGUAAAUUAAACCUCGAUAAUAUAUUUCUUGUUAGCGAAAAUAACAUUUACGAUAAUAAUUAUCGAGGAAUGACAAAUACGAAAAUACGUAGAAAGAUAAAAUUGUAGAAGACCUUCAAAUUAAUAACAAUACAUGAAGUAAAAAUAUUUUGAACAAAGGAAUGUAAAGGUUAUCUGGCUCUUAUCCAAAAUCGAGCAACAAAACAAACGAACGUAAAUAUAAUACUUAUUUAGAUGGACAUGGACGAAUCUCAAAAGAACACAGUAUUAAGCGUUCUUGGUAAUAGUAAACUCUCGGCGAACGUGAUUAUCUGAGAAUAAAAAUUCUUGAAAUUGUUCUUAAAUGGGUACAAAAUAUGAGAGUACUUUCGAGAGUAAUUAUCGCAAAAAACUCUCAAGUGGAUCGCUACUUUUAGAGUUCUCCGAAGCGACUAAUCAGCCGGCAAACCGGUUAGAAAAAUUAGGGAAAAAGGGAAAGAUAAAAAUAAAGGGAGAAGAAAAAAAAUGAAGAAAAGUGAAAGGAAGGGAAUAUUUGAUUGAUUCGAGAUGUAUCCGUAUUAUUCGACUAGAUUAUAUUUAAAGACGAUGUGACUGUACAAAGUUACCAUUAUAACAUAAAUAUUUCAAAGAUAAACUUAAGACAAAUAUUUAACCUACGAGUUUACCUUUUGAGUUUUUCUCUUGUUUAGGAAAUACCGGAAAACUGAAUAUUCAUAAGGAAUGUCUGAAACACAAAUAAGCAAUGACUAAGGAUCUUUAAUUUUGUCUACGAAAUCUAUUAAAUAAACACUCAAUGAAUUCUCAAAGACGAGCGUUUCGUACAACAAUAAAAAAUAGUAGGUCUCGAGAAAUCUUCACGGAUCAGGCAUUUGAAAAUCUUUUUCUCGGUCUCCCUUUUACUCAUUCUUCCUUUCAUCUCAUUAACCGAAUAAUAUCCACAGGCAGAGGAGCAGUAACCGCAGAGACGACGAUUCCAACGUUCUCGAAUAUUCCCAAGGGUUAACAAUGUCCUUAAUGACGUAACAUAAUUACGAAGAAGCUUUCCCUCACGAUGUACGUCACCGGCAAACGCGGGAGCUUAAUUGUAAAGCCUGGAAGAUCGAGGCUAAGCGGCUAAACGAGCACGAUCGUCCUUGACGAAGGACUCCGAGGUAAAGCUCCUAAUCUGAACUUUUCCUUCUCUUCCUCUUCAAGCUGCUUCUUUACGUCGUUCUCGUCGAUAUAGAAACAUCAAGAGAUAAACCACAAUGUCAUCCUGCGCUACCAUUAGAGAGUAAUCGCUUUAGAAACAGACUCUCCUUUCUAUUUUAUCAUUCUCUUACUAGAUUUACUAAAAUCCCUUUUCGAAAGACCUAUUUAACACUUAUGAUUAUGUACUCGUAUAAAAGGAAAUAUUAUAUGAAACAUCAUAUGAAAUAUUAUUAUACUUAGAACCUAUUUAACGAUCACAAUUAUAUCGUACUCGUGUAAAGUGAAAUUAAAAUAAACGAAUGCUAUUAAUA